This is a microRNA precursor of Oryza rufipogon (brownbeard rice), 205 nucleotides long. It matches the Rfam family "MIR812 microRNA precursor family". The record is from Rfam. Lineage: Eukaryota; Viridiplantae; Streptophyta; Magnoliopsida; Poales; Poaceae.
AAAAAGAUAAACUAUGGAUUCUUAUGCCAAUGUUUGACUAUCCGUCUUAUAUGAAAUUUUUUUAUAAUUAAUAUUUUUAUGGUUGUUAGAUGAUAAAACAUGAUUAAUACUUUAUACUUGACUUAUCUUUUUAUUUUUUUUUAUAAUUUUUUCAAAUAAGACGAACGGUCAAACGUUGGACAUGGGAAUCAGGUUUGUCUUUUUU